GAUGAACGCUGGCGGCGUGCCUAAUACAUGCAAGUCGAGCGAACGGACGAGAAGCUUGCUUCUCUGAUGUUAGCGGCGGACGGGUGAGUAACACGUGGAUAACCUACCUAUGAGACUGGGAUAACUUCGGGAAACCGGAGCUAAUACCGGAUAAUAUUUUGAACCGCAUGGUUCAAAAGUGAAAGACGGUCUUGCUGUCACUUAUAGAUGGAUCCGCGCUGCAUUAGCUAGUUGGUAAGGUAACGGCUUACCAAGGCAACGAUGCAUAGCCGACCUGAGAGGGUGAUCGGCCACACUGGAACUGAGACACGGUCCAGACUCCUACGGGAGGCAGCAGUAGGGAAUCUUCCGCAAUGGGCGAAAGCCUGACGGAGCAACGCCGCGUGAGUGAUGAAGGUCUUCGGAUCGUAAAACUCUGUUAUUAGGGAAGAACAUAUGUGUAAGUAACUGUGCACAUCUUGACGGUACCUAAUCAGAAAGCCACGGCUAACUACGUGCCAGCAGCCGCGGUAAUACGUAGGUGGCAAGCGUUAUCCGGAAUUAUUGGGCGUAAAGCGCGCGUAGGCGGUUUUUUAAGUCUGAUGUGAAAGCCCACGGCUCAACCGUGGAGGGUCAUUGGAAACUGGAAAACUUGAGUGCAGAAGAGGAAAGUGGAAUUCCAUGUGUAGCGGUGAAAUGCGCAGAGAUAUGGAGGAACACCAGUGGCGAAGGCGACUUUCUGGUCUGUAACUGACGCUGACGUGCGAAAGCGUGGGGAUCAAACAGGAUUAGAUACCCUGGUAGUCCACGCCGUAAACGAUGAGUGCUAAGUGUUAGGGGGUUUCCGCCCCUUAGUGCUGCAGCUAACGCAUUAAGCACUCCGCCUGGGGAGUACGACCGCAAGGUUGAAACUCAAAGGAAUUGACGGGGACCCGCACAAGCGGUGGAGCAUGUGGUUUAAUUCGAAGCAACGCGAAGAACCUUACCAAAUCUUGACAUCCUUUGACAACUCUAGAGAUAGAGCUUUCCCCUUCGGGGGACAAAGUGACAGGUGGUGCAUGGUUGUCGUCAGCUCGUGUCGUGAGAUGUUGGGUUAAGUCCCGCAACGAGCGCAACCCUUAAGCUUAGUUGCCAUCAUUAAGUUGGGCACUCUAAGUUGACUGCCGGUGACAAACCGGAGGAAGGUGGGGAUGACGUCAAAUCAUCAUGCCCCUUAUGAUUUGGGCUACACACGUGCUACAAUGGACAAUACAAAGGGCAGCGAAACCGCGAGGUCAAGCAAAUCCCAUAAAGUUGUUCUCAGUUCGGAUUGUAGUCUGCAACUCGACUACAUGAAGCUGGAAUCGCUAGUAAUCGUAGAUCAGCAUGCUACGGUGAAUACGUUCCCGGGUCU
RNAcentral lists this ribosomal RNA (1372 nucleotides) under uncultured bacterium. RNAcentral describes it as "bacterial SSU rRNA". It matches the Rfam family "Bacterial small subunit ribosomal RNA", at positions 28 to 1381 of the family's 1533-position model. The record is from RNAcentral.